Long non-coding RNA from Oxyura jamaicensis (ruddy duck), 207 nucleotides. RefSeq lists it as uncharacterized. The transcript is spliced from 2 exons. The record is from RefSeq and is a predicted model, not a curated record. NCBI's taxonomy places the organism in Eukaryota, Metazoa, Chordata, Aves, Anseriformes, Anatidae.
AAAGAUCACCUAAUUCCAGCCCCACCGUCAUGUGCAGGUACACCUCCCACUAGACCAGGUUGCCCAACUCCCCAUCCAGCCUGGCCUUGAACACCUCCAGGGAUGGGGCAUCCACAGCUUCUCUGGGCAGCCUGUGCCAGGGCCCCACCACCCUUUGAGUGAAGAACUUCCCCCUAACAUCUAACCUAAAUCUCCCCUCUUUUAGUU